GUAGGGAAUCUUCCGCAAUGGACGCAAGUCUGACGGAGCAACGCCGCGUGUGUGAAGAAGGUUUUCGGAUCGUAAAGCACUGUUAUUAGAGAAGAACAGCCGAUAGAGUAACUGUUAUCGGUUUGACGGUAUCUAACCAGAAAGUGACGGCUACCUACGUGCCAGCAGCCGCGGUAAUACGUAGGUCACAAGCGUUGUCCGGAUUUAUUGGGCGUAAAGGGAGCGCAGGCGGUUUGUUAAGUCUGAUGUGAAAGCCCACGGCUCAACCGUGGAACGGCAUUGGAAACUGGCAAACUUGAGUAUAGAAGAGGAAAGUGGAAUUCCAUGUGUAGCGGUGAAAUGCGUAGAUAUAUGGAGGAACACCAGUGGCGAAGGCGACUUUCUGGUCUAUAACUGACGCUGAGGCUCGAAAGCGUGGGGAGCGAACAGG
Molecule: ribosomal RNA, 430 nt
Filed under: uncultured bacterium
Lineage: Bacteria
Description: bacterial SSU rRNA
Rfam family: Bacterial small subunit ribosomal RNA
Source: RNAcentral